AGGACUAUACUUUCAGGCCUCAUUUCUAUAGUUCAUUACUAAAGAAGUUUCUCCAACUGUGUAGAGCACGUGAGACCAUGAGGAAGAAACAGAGUAUUCUCUCUCAAGCAUGAAGAUGGU
RNAcentral lists this small nucleolar RNA (120 nucleotides) under Neotoma lepida (desert woodrat). RNAcentral's name for it is "Small nucleolar RNA U3". It matches the Rfam family "Small nucleolar RNA U3", at positions 1 to 121 of the family's 219-position model. From Rfam's summary of the family: Small nucleolar RNAs (snoRNAs) are involved in the processing and modification of rRNA in the nucleolus. Lineage: Eukaryota; Metazoa; Chordata; Mammalia; Rodentia; Cricetidae. The record is from Rfam by way of RNAcentral.